Molecule: unclassified non-coding RNA, 377 nt
Filed under: fungal sp.
Lineage: Eukaryota; Fungi
Description: partial internal transcribed spacer region
Rfam family: Eukaryotic small subunit ribosomal RNA (bases 1-46)
Source: RNAcentral
AAGUCGUAACAAGGUUUCCGUAGGUGAACCUGCGGAAGGAUCAUUAACACGUAUCCAACGUUAAACCCCCCGUGAACCUUCAGUGCGCUCGCACUUUCUUAGAAAAGGUAGCAAUGAACAGUUUUGAUUCAGGGACUUCUGCGUAGACUGUGCUUGAGCGUGAGGCAAGUGGCCUGGCAUUCCUCUGCUUGUUGGUGUCUGAAAGUGUCACCAGCUCUGUACGAAUGGCGCAGUCACGAUCGCUAGAGGCCGACACGGCCGGCGACCGGGUCACUGGGCGCGAGCCCCCCUCGUCACCUUUGCAUGAAAACGGGCCUGCGCUUAAUUGUGCGGCCACCAAACUCGAACAACUGUUAACAAUGGAUAUCUUGGUUCUC